RNAcentral lists this long non-coding RNA (479 nucleotides) under Nicotiana benthamiana. RNAcentral's name for it is "long non-coding RNA (NBEN_LNC042531)". Lineage: Eukaryota; Viridiplantae; Streptophyta; Magnoliopsida; Solanales; Solanaceae. The record is from RNAcentral.
UGAGACUUAUAUGGGUUGUUUGGUAUCCAAAGGAGGGGAAACCAAAAGCUUAACAUGAAGGAAAUUGUGAAGACUUUGUUCCACUGAUACAUUCCCAGCAGAAUGAGCAUAUGAGAUGCUUAUACCACUGACUGAGAGUGCAUCAGUUGGUCAAGUCUUCUCCCAAUACCUGCAAAAUAGAGCAAACCUAUUAGAAAAGGGGGGCUCAUAGUCCAGGAGACUGGAUAUGAGUAUGGGGACAGGGGGAUUAUGACCCCUUGUUUAUGAAAGAGAAAAGGAGAGGGAAAAAGGUGGCAGGUUCUUGUGGAGACUGCCACCAGUUGUUUUGUUUUUCCCUGGUGUGAAGAGGCCAACAGAGGGUGCAAUUUUUGGGUAUGAGAUCAGGGGUGUUGGAUUGAAUGGGUGAAAGAAAGCAAUGAGGAAAGCAGAGAUGCAAACAGCAGAAGUUGGAGAAUGAAUUUCUACAUUUUCUAUAGUUU